RNAcentral lists this ribosomal RNA (493 nucleotides) under uncultured bacterium. RNAcentral describes it as "partial 16S ribosomal RNA". It matches the Rfam family "Bacterial small subunit ribosomal RNA", at positions 29 to 507 of the family's 1533-position model. The record is from RNAcentral.
AGUGAACGCUGGCGGUAGGCCUAACACAUGCAAGUCGAACGGCAGCACAGUAAGAGCUUGCUCUUACGGGUGGCGAGUGGCGGACGGGUGAGGAAUACAUCGGAAUCUACUUUUUCGUGGGGGAUAACGUAGGGAAACUUACGCUAAUACCGCAUACGACCUACGGGUGAAAGCAGGGGAUCUUCGGACCUUGCGCGAUUGAAUGAGCCGAUGUCGGAUUAGCUAGUUGGCGGGGUAAAGGCCCACCAAGGCGACGAUCCGUAGCUGGUCUGAGAGGAUGGUCAGCCACAUUGGGACUGGGAAACGGGCCCAACUCCCACGGGGGGCAGCAGGAGGGAAUUUUGGGAAAUGGGGGAAAGCCUGACCCAGCAACGCCCGGUGGGUGAAGAAGGGUUUCGGGUUGUAAAACCCUUUUGGUAGAGAAGAAAGAGGGGGAGGUUGAAACCCUCCUUUAGUGACGGUAACAAACAAGAAAGCGCCGGCUAACUUCGUG